CCUGGCGGCCGUAGCGCGGUGGUCCCACCUGACCCCAUGCCGAACUCAGAAGUGAAACGCCGUGGCGCCGAUGGUAGUGUGGGGUCUCCCCAUGCGAGAGUAGGGAACUGCCAGGC
This 116-nucleotide ribosomal RNA is filed under the name Escherichia coli. The record is from RNAcentral. Lineage: Bacteria; Pseudomonadati; Pseudomonadota; Gammaproteobacteria; Enterobacterales; Enterobacteriaceae.